AAAGGUUCCAUUAAUACUGGGAGCUCAUGACGGUACCGUAAGAAUAAGCACCGGCUAACUACGUGCCAGCAGCCGCGGUAAUACGUAGGGUGCAAGCGUUAAUCGGAAUUACUGGGCGUAAAGCGUGCGCAGGCGGUUAUGUAAGACAGAGGUGAAAUCCCCGGGCUCAACCUGGGAACUGCCUUUGUGACUGCAUAGCUAGAGUACGGUAGAGGGGGAUGGAAUUCCGCGUGUAGCAGUGAAAUGCGUAGAUAUGCGGAGGAACACCGAUGGCGAAGGCAAUCCCCUGGACCUGUACUGACGCUCAUGCACGAAAGCGUGGGGAGCAAACAGGAUUAGAUACCCUGGUAGUCCACGCCCUAAACGAUGUCAACUGGUUGUUGGGUCUNUCACUGACUCAGUAACGAAGCUAACGCGUGAAGUUGACCGCCU
This 432-nucleotide ribosomal RNA is filed under the name uncultured bacterium. Its description in RNAcentral is "bacterial SSU rRNA". It matches the Rfam family "Bacterial small subunit ribosomal RNA", at positions 444 to 874 of the family's 1533-position model. The record is from RNAcentral.